This 318-nucleotide small nuclear RNA is filed under the name Erinaceus europaeus (western European hedgehog). Its description in RNAcentral is "7SK RNA". It matches the Rfam family "7SK RNA". Rfam says of the family: 7SK was discovered as an abundant small nuclear RNA in the mid-70s but a possible function has only recently been suggested. Two independent studies have found that 7SK RNA binds the CDK9/cyclin T complex (known as elongation factor P-TEFb). P-TEFb activates transcription by phosphorylating the C-terminal domain of RNA polymerase II. The record is from Rfam by way of RNAcentral. Lineage: Eukaryota; Metazoa; Chordata; Mammalia; Eulipotyphla; Erinaceidae.
GGAUGUGAGGGCGAUCUGGCUGCGACACCUGUCACCCCAUUGAUCGCCAGGGUUGAUUCGGCUGAUCUGGCUGGGUAGGCGGGUGUCCCCUUCCUCCCUCACCGCUCCAUGUGCGUCCCUCCCGAAGCUGUGAGCUCAGUUGAAGAGGACGGCCUUCCCUGAAUAGAGACGGACCCAGUCUUCGGUUGAGGGUAUAAGAGUAGCUGUGCUCCCCUGCUAGAACCUCCAAACAAGCUCUCAAGGUCCUAAAUGAAAACCCAUUUUAAAAAAUUGGGCCAGGGAGAUUUGUCAGCAGUAUCACCCAAGUACAACAUCCUU